This 170-nucleotide microRNA precursor is filed under the name Hordeum vulgare. Its description in RNAcentral is "microRNA MIR1122". It matches the Rfam family "MIR1120/MIR1122 microRNA precursor family". The record is from RNAcentral. Lineage: Eukaryota; Viridiplantae; Streptophyta; Magnoliopsida; Poales; Poaceae.
CAUAUACUCCCUCCGUUCCUAAAUAUAAGACCUUGUAAAGAUUGCACUAUGGACUACAUACGAAUGUAUAUAGACAUAUUUUAAUGUAUAGAUUCAUUCAUUUUGCUCCGUAUGUAGUCUAUAGUGAAAUCUUUACAAGGUCUUAUAUUUAGGAACGGAGGGAGUAUCAU